UACGUAGGGUGCGAGCGUUGUCCGGAAUUAUUGGGCGUAAAGGGCUCGUAGGCGGUUUGUCGCGUCGGGAGUGAAAACCCAGGGCUUAACCCUGGGCUGGCUUCCGAUACGGGCAGACUAGAGGUAUGCAGGGGAGAACGGAAUUCCUGGUGUAGCGGUGAAAUGCGCAGAUAUCGGGAAGAACACCUAUGGCGAAGGCAGCUCUCUGGGACGGUACUGACGCUGAGACGCGAAAGCGUGGGGAGCGAACAGG
Molecule: ribosomal RNA, 253 nt
Filed under: uncultured bacterium
Lineage: Bacteria
Description: partial 16S ribosomal RNA
Rfam family: Bacterial small subunit ribosomal RNA
Source: RNAcentral